RNAcentral lists this long non-coding RNA (296 nucleotides) under Brassica napus (rape). RNAcentral describes it as "long non-coding RNA (BNAP_LNC002140)". The record is from RNAcentral. Lineage: Eukaryota; Viridiplantae; Streptophyta; Magnoliopsida; Brassicales; Brassicaceae.
CUACCUAACCUAAACCCUACCUAACCCUAAAACCUUUCUAACCCUAAACCCUUUUUAACCCUAAACCCUACCUAACCCUAAACCCUACCUAACCCUCAACCCUACCUACCCUAAACCCUUUUUAACCCUAAACCCUACCUAACCCUACCUAACCCUAAACCCUAUCUAUCCUAAACCCUUUUUAACCCUAAACCCUACCUAACCCUAAACCCUACCUAACCCUCAACCCUACCUACCCUAAACCCUUUUUAACCCUAAACCCUACCUAACCCUAAACCCUACCUAACCCUAACCCU